UUGCACGCUGGCGGCAGGCCUCACACAUGCAAGUCGAACGGUAACAGGAAACAGCUUGCUGUUUCGCUGACGAGUGGCGGACGGGUGAGUAAUGUCUGGGAAACUGCCUGAUGGAGGGGGAUAACUACUGGAAACGGUAGCUAAUACCGCAUAACGUCGCAAGACCAAAGAGGGGGACCUUCGGGCCUCUUGCCAUCGGAUGUGCCCAGAUGGGAUUAGCUAGUAGGUGGGGUAACGGCUCACCUAGGCGACGAUCCCUAGCUGGUCUGAGAGGAUGACCAGCCACACUGGAACUGAGACACGGUCCAGACUCCUACGGGAGGCAGCAGUGGGGAAUAUUGCACAAUGGGCGCAAGCCUGAUGCAGCCAUGCCGCGUGUAUGAAGAAGGCCUUCGGGUUGUAAAGUACUUUCAGCGGGGAGGAAGGGAGUAAAGUUAAUACCUUUGCUCAUUGACGUUACCCGCAGAAGAAGCACCGGCUAACUCCGUG
RNAcentral lists this ribosomal RNA (489 nucleotides) under uncultured bacterium. RNAcentral describes it as "partial 16S ribosomal RNA". It matches the Rfam family "Bacterial small subunit ribosomal RNA", at positions 30 to 507 of the family's 1533-position model. The record is from RNAcentral.